GGCACCGAGUGUCAAACGUUCCCUAGUCGGGUUCAGGAGGGCUGGGAGCAGUCGGGGCUAAUUUCCGCUCAGUGGUGCCCGUUCAUAUUAAGUAGCCUCAACUUUUCUCCGUCGACAGUCGCCGCCAUGUCCAACAAUAACGCAAGCAACAACUUAAUCAUCGCUCAGAGGGCCGUGAAGCAGCUCCGGCUAGAGGCCAGUAUCCGGAGAAUCAAGGUGUCCCAGGCUGCUGCUGAGCUGAGAAACUUCUGUCUGCAAAAUGCCUCAAAGGACCCUCUCCUGGUCGGGGUCCCCUCCAGUGAUAAUCCUUUCAGACCCCCCAAGUCCUGUUCCUUGUUCUGAGUGCAACCGGGAUGUGAACAAAGGGUCCUUUAUUCGAAAUGAUGCAACUUGAUUCAGCUCAGGAGUCAUUUUGAAUUCAUGGAUUCAAGAUUCAAGAUUCAAGAUUCAAGAAAGCUUUAUUACCAACAGAGAGAACCACAGAGGACUUCUGAAUUUACCCGUCCAAGGCUUUCUCCACUCCUACUUGAUGUCGCUGUGGAUCGACCCGCUGCUCCUCUUGGGAAAUUGCAACAUGGGACUGAUGGGUUCGGGGGAGGGAACUUUUCCACUUGUUUGCCAAACUAAUGGUAUAAUGACUCCCAUCUGUUACAUUAAUGCAGGGCCAAACUCUACAUAUUAGAAAUUAUUACAACACUAAUUUGACUAAUGAUUAAGCCUCUCUUGGUUUACCCUCUACUUUAAAUGUCCAGCCUCAGUUUACUGCUUUGACGAUGUCUGUGCCCUGGCAGUAAAAUUCAGCUCUUGUGAUUGGCUGCGAAAAGCACAACUUCCUCUUGUGUUGUGUCACAAACAGAGAAACAAUCAAACGUUAAUUUGAGUCAGGUGCUGUUAAAGAAUAGAAACAUACUGUAUUUUAUAUGAAGUGUGUUUCAUAUUGUGGCCAACAAACAUGCUGUUAGCUUUUGAGCUAAGCUGAUGAGUGUCCUUAACUGUUCAUGUAUUAAUGUUUUUCAUGUAUUACUACUACUCAGCGGUGCAACAACCGGUACAAACUAUCAGUGCAGGCAUGUGAUUGCAUUUUAUCCUGUCUUUUUCUGUACAUAUUUAACGGCCUCUGAAGGUUGCUUUUAAUUGUCUUCAUGUCCUUGUCUUUAAUGUCUAGCCUUAAACUAUUCUGGUGGUGAAACCUGUCAGCAAAUAUUUAACAUUAUGGAAACAUAAAGGCCAAACAGCCAAUGUUCACAUAUCAAUUAAAAAUUCCAAAUAUUGUUAGAUGUUAUGAAUGAUGUUGCAGUAAUUGUUGCAUUUAUCAUGUCCACACUGAAAUCAUAUUCCAAUCAACCAAAACUUUUACUACUGCAAACCUGAAUCUUUCUUACCUUUGCUACUUUGGGUAACCUUUUAAAAACUAAAUAAAUUCCUUUUUUGGACACUGGUAAA
Notolabrus celidotus (New Zealand spotty) is the source of this 1443-nucleotide RNA transcript. RefSeq lists it as uncharacterized. The record is from RefSeq and is a predicted model, not a curated record. The transcript has 4 exons. Lineage: Eukaryota; Metazoa; Chordata; Actinopteri; Labriformes; Labridae.